UUGAGUAGAGGGACCAUAAGAAGAAAGGAGAAAGGCAUUAAUAGCUUGCAAAUAAGUAAGUCCUUGAAUCUUGUCAAUUAUUUCUUUCUUUGAAAUUCUAGAAAAUUGCUUGAAGACAAGGAGUGAGAGCUAGGAGUUGGAGGAUAGAAUACAAGACAAAGAUGCAAAAAGAGGUAAUUUUUUAAACCUUUUUAUAAAUUUUAUUUUUUUUAGGAUCAAUAGAGCUUUAAAAUCCUUUCCUAUCUCAAUU
RNAcentral lists this long non-coding RNA (250 nucleotides) under Physcomitrium patens. Its description in RNAcentral is "long non-coding RNA (PPAT_LNC004417)". The record is from RNAcentral. Lineage: Eukaryota; Viridiplantae; Streptophyta; Bryopsida; Funariales; Funariaceae.